Triticum aestivum (bread wheat) is the source of this 962-nucleotide long non-coding RNA. RefSeq lists it as uncharacterized. The transcript is spliced from 3 exons. The record is from RefSeq and is a predicted model, not a curated record. Lineage: Eukaryota; Viridiplantae; Streptophyta; Magnoliopsida; Poales; Poaceae.
CGGCUCUCGGACUCUCUCAUGGGUCUGAGCUUCGGGCUUGGCGGGGUUCGGGGGAGGAUGGUUGGACUGGAGGAGGAGGUAGAGCGCGAAGGAGACGGCGUGGACGGCGAACACGACGACGAGGAUGCACGGGACGAGGCGGCGGAGCCUCUGGCCGUGGCUUUGGUGGUGAUUGCGCCCGGCCAUCAUCGCCGGCCGCCGGAGUGUCCUCCGCGCCGUCGGGGUUCCGUAGAUCCGGGGCCUGUGUGUACUCGGAGACGAUGGGGGGGAAGAGGAAGCCGUUACGCGUGUCGCAGGUGAGCUGUCGCCGGAGACAUCGCAUCGCCAUAGCGGUGGGCUGACCGGCGACGGCGUGCCUUCUUGCCAAUCGAGGCUGCGCGACCAGCCGGUCUUGGAUACUGCGGAGUGCCGUCGGUGCACGGCGUACCUGGCCAGUGUGCGAGUUGGGUCGCCUGCUGUGGAUGCCGCCUAGCCGUCGCCAUGUGAUCAAUCAAGCCCAGCGUCGCUGGACAAGUAUGCAAGUGUCAAUUCCACUGCUCCGGGCGACAAGCCAUAGCAUAUGUCGGUCUGGCGUGUAUCAUCGGAUUCGUGUUGAUCCGUCGCUUCGCACUGCGCCAUGUCGCUCCCGUCGUCGGGGCCCACCACACCGCCCGCUCUCCUCAGUCUACCUUAUCCCUCAAUGUGUUUCCAUGGCUCCUCUGCCUCGCUCUGCGCCACACACCACAACCCUCCAACCCCUCCCCCCAACGUCUCAUCGGAGUUGGCCUCCGACAACCCGGAGUCAAUCUCCCCUGCGCGUGCUGUUGUGGUUCUAAGUCUGACAGUAGUGUAGGGGGGUAAGUAUGAAGAGGCAAGAUCUUAGCUAUGGAGAAGUUGUAAGCACGCAAGGUUUACGAGUUCAGGCCCUUCUCGGAGGAAGUAAUAGCCCUACGUCUCAGAGCCCGGAGGCGGUCGACUGGAUU